This 292-nucleotide ribosomal RNA is filed under the name uncultured bacterium. RNAcentral describes it as "partial 16S ribosomal RNA". It matches the Rfam family "Bacterial small subunit ribosomal RNA", at positions 505 to 796 of the family's 1533-position model. The record is from RNAcentral.
GUGACAGCCGCCGCGGUAAUACGUAGGCAGCAAGCGUUGUUCGGAGUUACUGGGCGUAAAGGGUGUGUAGGCGGUUGUUUAAGUUUGGUGUGAAACCUCCCGGCUUAACUGGGAAGGUGCGCCGAAUACUGGUAGGCUAGAGUGCGGGAGAGGAAAGCGGAAUUCCUGGUGUAGCGGUGAAAUGCGUAGAUAUCAGGAGGAACACCUGCGGUGUAGACGGCUUUCUGGACCGCCACUGACGCUGAGACACGAAAGCGUGGGUAGCAAACAGGAUUAGAUACCCUUGUAGUCC